UACGCCCACAUCACGUUCAAGCACCGGUUCUCGAACGAUCACCGAAGUCAAACAACGUCGGACCUGGUCAGUACGUUGAUGGGUGAAGCUUGCGAGGAAUAGGUGCUGUAAG
This is a non-coding RNA of Acanthosepion pharaonis, 112 nucleotides long. NCBI's taxonomy places the organism in Eukaryota, Metazoa, Mollusca, Cephalopoda, Sepiida, Sepiidae. The record is from the annotation of a GenBank genome assembly.